RNAcentral lists this ribosomal RNA (324 nucleotides) under Babesia venatorum (nom. ined.). RNAcentral describes it as "SSU rRNA". It matches the Rfam family "Eukaryotic small subunit ribosomal RNA", at positions 472 to 849 of the family's 1831-position model. Lineage: Eukaryota; Apicomplexa; Aconoidasida; Piroplasmida; Babesiidae. The record is from RNAcentral.
AAGAAAUAACAAUACAGGGCAAUUGUCUUGUAAUUGGAAUGAUGGUGACCUAAACCCUCACCAGAGUAACAAUUGGAGGGCAAGUCUGGUGCCAGCAGCCGCGGUAAUUCCAGCUCCAAUAGCGUAUAUUAAACUUGUUGCAGUUAAAAAGCUCGUAGUUGAAUUUCUGCGUUAUCGAGUUAUUGACUCUUGUCUUUAAUCGAUUUCGCUUUUGGGAUUUAUCCCUUUUUACUUUGAGAAAAUUAGAGUGUUUCAAGCAGACUUUUGUCUUGAAUACUUCAGCAUGGAAUAAUAGAGUAGGACUUUGGUUCUUUUUUGUUGGUU